Molecule: unclassified non-coding RNA, 251 nt
Filed under: uncultured Polyporus
Lineage: Eukaryota; Fungi; Basidiomycota; Agaricomycetes; Polyporales; Polyporaceae
Description: sequence contains ITS1
Source: RNAcentral
GAGAGCCAAGAGAUCCGUUGUUGAAAGUUGUAUAUAGUUUUAGAGGACAUAAGUCCAGUAAACAAGACAUUCAUGACAUACAAAGAGUAUAUGAAUUCAUAAGCCUGGAAAGUCAAAAGGAGCUUUAAAAAAGCAACCUUUCAAACCACAAAGUAAACUUCAUGAUAAUUUUCCAGACUUACAGAAGUGCACAGGUGGAUGAAUAUUCACAACAACAAGUGUGCACAUGUCUUGUUAAAGACCAGCAACAA